GCCAGACUCCUACGGGAGGCAGCAGUGGGGAAUAUUGGGCAAUGGGCGAAAGCCUGACCCAGCGACGCCGCGUGAGGGAAGAAGGUCUUCGGAUUGUAAACCUCUUUCAGCAGGGAAGAAGAAAGUGACGGUACCUGCAGAAGAAGUCACGGCUAACUACGUGCCAGCAGCCGCGGUAAUACGUAGGUGGCGAGCGUUAUCCGGAAUUACUGGGUGUAAAGGGUGUGUAGGCGGGAGUGCAAGUCAGACGUGAAAACUAUGGGCUCAACCCAUAACGUGCGUUUGAAACUGUGCUUCUUGAGAGUGGGAGAGGUAAACGGAAUUCCUGGUGUAGUAGUGAAAUGCGUAGAUAUCAGGAGGAACACCGGUGGCGAAGGCGGUUUACUGGACCACAACUGACGCUGAGACACGAAAGCGUGGGGAGCAAACAGGAUUAGAUACCCGAGUA
Molecule: ribosomal RNA, 448 nt
Filed under: uncultured bacterium
Lineage: Bacteria
Description: bacterial SSU rRNA
Rfam family: Bacterial small subunit ribosomal RNA
Source: RNAcentral